This 411-nucleotide ribosomal RNA is filed under the name uncultured bacterium. RNAcentral's name for it is "bacterial SSU rRNA". It matches the Rfam family "Bacterial small subunit ribosomal RNA", at positions 505 to 916 of the family's 1533-position model. The record is from RNAcentral.
GUGUCAGCAGCCGCGGUAAUACGAGAGGUCCAAACGUUAUUCGGAUUUACUGGGCUUAAAGAGUUCGUAGGCGGCUAAGUAAGUGGGGUGUGAAAUCCCUCGGCUCAACCGAGGAACUGCGCUCCAAACUACUUAGCUAGAGGAAGAUAGAGGUAAGCGGAACAGAUGGUGGAGCGGUGAAAUGCGUUGAUAUCAUCUGGAACACCGGAGGCGAAGGCGGCUUACUGGGUCUUUUCUGACGCUGAGGAACGAAAGCUAGGGGAGCAAACGGGAUUAGAUACCCCGGUAGUCCUAGCCGUAAACGAUGAGCACUGGACCGGAGCUCUGCACAGGGUUUCGGUCGUAGCGAAAGUGUUAAGUGCUCCGCCUGGGGAGUAUGGUCGCAAGGCUGAAACUCAAAUGAAUUGACGG